UGGGGAAUAUUGCACAAUGGGGGAAACCCUGAUGCAGCAACGCCGCGUGCGGGAUGACGGCCUUCGGGUUGUAAACCGCUUUCAGCCAUGACGAAGCUUUUGUGACGGUAGUGGCAGAAGAAGCACCGGCUAACUACGUGCCAGCAGCCGCGGUGAUACGUAGGGUGCGAGCGUUGUCCGGAAUUAUUGGGCGUAAAGAGCUUGUAGGCGGUUUGUCGCGUCGAAAGUGUAAACUCAGUGCUUAACGCUGAGCCUGCUUUCGAUACGGGCUGACUAGAGGCAGGUAGGGGAGAAUGGAAUUCCCGGUGGAGCGGUGGAAUGCGCAGAUAUCGGGAGGAACACCAGUGGCGAAGGCGGUUCUCUGGACCUUUCCUGACGCUGAGAAGCGAAAGCGUGGGUAGCAAACAGG
RNAcentral lists this ribosomal RNA (409 nucleotides) under bacterium. Its description in RNAcentral is "partial 16S ribosomal RNA". It matches the Rfam family "Bacterial small subunit ribosomal RNA", at positions 355 to 776 of the family's 1533-position model. The record is from RNAcentral.